GGGAUAGCAUGCUUUUACUUUCUCUCUCGUUGAAUGUAAACAGGCUUUGCCGGUCGGAAUAUUAUCGCUUUUUUACGAGAAAAGUGGCAUAAAAAUUGAUUUUAAACAGCGGUUGACAUGCUUCGAAUGUCUUGAACGCACGAACAAAACGCCGCUAUUUGGAUAUAACAAUGGAUUAUUUGGGACCAAACCAACAUUUGUUAUUGAAGUAGAAGUCCUGGGAGUGCAUUCUGACGAAGAACAGCAAAGUGUGUUUCCACAGCCCAGUACGUCCUGUGCCUCCUGCCCGCACUCGACCUGAGGUGCGUGUCAUCAGCCCAGUGCCACCUGUACCGGUCCCACGCAUCAGACCUCCAGUGCGCCUCUACA
This 369-nucleotide long non-coding RNA is filed under the name Salmo salar (Atlantic salmon). RNAcentral describes it as "lncRNA (ENSSSAG00000113554.1)". Lineage: Eukaryota; Metazoa; Chordata; Actinopteri; Salmoniformes; Salmonidae. The record is from RNAcentral.